Alosa alosa (allis shad) is the source of this 522-nucleotide long non-coding RNA. RefSeq lists it as uncharacterized. NCBI's taxonomy places the organism in Eukaryota, Metazoa, Chordata, Actinopteri, Clupeiformes, Clupeidae. The transcript is spliced from 3 exons. The record is from RefSeq and is a predicted model, not a curated record.
CAAGUUCACCUAACGGAAAAAAACGAAAAGACGCAAAAUCAUUCAUCGUGGGACAACAUGCAGCACCAAACUAUAUAGGAAUUAAACACCUUCACGUCUUUUCUAUCACCAAACCGAGUCUGUUCUAUCACAUCUAAGCGACAAUUUCGUGGUGCUUUCAAUAGUAUUGAAGACUGUUUUGAAAGUUCCCAGAUGGAUAUGCGGAGCACUGGCGGAGUCAGGUUGACGGGUCUGACGGAGUCCUCUCCAAAACCCCAGAGAUUCCAGACACCAAUGCCAGCAAGGGAUGCUCACUCCUCUACUGUAGCUGUGUGGUAGCCUGUAUGGGUCCUGGUAAGUGCCACUGCACUGGUAAGUGCUUUUUUUGUGUGUGUUAUUUGACUAAAAUAUAAUAUUGAUCCUUAACAUGGUGAAAAGCCUAAUAUAACUUUUCACUUUGGCAUAGUUCUGAAGUUGUGUUUAUUUAAGGCCUCAACAAUGGUCCUUUUGGUCACAACAUGUGAUUUUUGACACUAUAGUGAU